This is a long non-coding RNA of Physeter macrocephalus (sperm whale), 393 nucleotides long. RefSeq lists it as uncharacterized. The record is from RefSeq and is a predicted model, not a curated record. Lineage: Eukaryota; Metazoa; Chordata; Mammalia; Artiodactyla; Physeteridae. The transcript is spliced from 3 exons.
UGAAGACCCCCUGGAAGGCGUUGAAGGUGGUGAAGAGAUAGGCCAUGACCACCGACUCCUUAUUGAUGAAGAGGAGGCCAAAAGCCCAGGAAGAGCAGCUCAGCCAGGAAGAGGUUGAUGCACAGGUUCUUGUGGAUGGUGUUUCGGUCAGUCUGCAGUCCCCGUAGGAAGCAGAAAGUGGAGAUACAGAUUGCCAGGCAGACCAGGGAGAUGACGAUGCCCACCCAGGCGGCACGCUCACUUCCUCGUGCUCUGGAAGGCUCGUGGAGAGAUGACAAAGGUGACACCAACUUGCUUCUCCAGAGUGCCUUGGGAGAAGGUGGGACCGUGACCAAAGACAACCAGACGUAUGGCCUCAUGCCCCGGGCAAGACUCAGGCCCCCCAUGCCCACG